CUGGGGCUAGAUGGACCUCAGGAGCUGGAGAACACCUGCAGAUACUCACAGCAGCUCAUCAGCGGCCACACGUGCUACACACUCAGCUCAGCAUGAUCAGUCAGGAGAAAGAGAAUGAAGAUUUUAACACCAACAACCGGAUAAUACCGCUCUCCAGAGUCCAUCUUUCACCUUAUACUAAGUUCAAGUGUGUGCACUCAUUUAUCACAUGGCAAACCAGUGGAGCAGCAGACCAUCUGCCAAAAGACACCUGUGCUGGCCAACAUUACACAAGGAUUGAUGAGAGGAGAGAGAGCUAUCUAUCCAACAAAGGGGAUCAGGUCCAAUUGUGCUCUCUUUAGCUCCAACUGCUCCCAGAAUUGUAAGGGCUUUUGGGAAAUAUCUGAGCUCUAGCCUGGACUGGUGUUACCUGUGUUGUUGUCGAAGAAGCGGAUGUGGCGGUCCUCCUGCGCUGUGAUGGUGAUGGGCAGCGUCGGGUGACUGAGAACUUUAUUGAUCUGAUGAGGAGCAUCUGAGGACAAACAGGACAAAACAUCAGUGUACCUGGCUCCCCUGCGUUCUGAGACUCCAGCUCCAGCACCAGCUGCUGCGUCUCCAUGUUAAAAAUGCCCAUCCUCCCAUUGCUGAAGGCUGUGACCAUAUGAGCCGGCUCACUGCACACCAGGUCCACGGAGGAGGGGAUACCCAACUCUACCACACACAGGAGCAAAAUACUAAAUUAAUACACAGCGAGAGAGGGCGACGUAUCUGCAGCGUUCCACAGUCGCACCGUCCCAUCCCCCGAGCAGGACAGCACCCGGUGGUGCGCCGAACUGUACACCAAACCCCACACAGCAUCCGUGUGAC
Molecule: long non-coding RNA, 846 nt
Organism: Astyanax mexicanus (Mexican tetra)
Lineage: Eukaryota; Metazoa; Chordata; Actinopteri; Characiformes; Acestrorhamphidae
Exons: 6
Source: RefSeq, a predicted model, not a curated record